RNAcentral lists this ribosomal RNA (305 nucleotides) under uncultured bacterium. RNAcentral describes it as "partial 16S ribosomal RNA". It matches the Rfam family "Bacterial small subunit ribosomal RNA", at positions 338 to 645 of the family's 1533-position model. The record is from RNAcentral.
CCUACGGGGGGCAGCAGUGGGGAAUAUUGCACAAUGGGGGAAACCCUGAUGCAGCGACGCCGCGUGAGUGAAGAAGUAUCUCGGUACGUAAAGCUCUAUCAGCAGGGAAGAAAAAAAGUCUUUGGCUUUGGACGGUACCUGACUAAGAAGCCCCGGCUAACUACGUGCCAGCAGCCGCGGUAAUACGUAGGGGGCAAGCGUUAUCCGGAUUUACUGGGUGUAAAGGGAGCGUAGGCGGCUGUGUAAGCCAGAAGUGAAAGCCCGAGGCUCAACCACGGGACUGCUUUUGGAACUACAUGGCUUGG